UGGGGAAUAUUGCACAAUGGGGAAAGCCCUGAUGCAGCGACGCCGCGUGGAGGAAGAAGGCCCUCGGGUUGUAAACUCCUGUCUUUGGGGACGAUAAUGACGGUACCCAAGGAGGAAGCCACGGCUAACUACGUGCCAGCAGCCGCGGUAAAACGUAGGUGGCAAGCGUUGUCCGGAAUUACUGGGUGUAAAGGGAGCGCAGGCGGAGCGGCAAGUUGGAGGUGAAAACCCAUGGGCUCAACCCAUGAAUUGCCUUCAAAACUGUCGGUCUUGAGUGGUGUAGAGGUAAGCGGAAUUCCCGGUGUAGCGGUGGAAUGCGUAGAUAUCGGGAGGAACACCAGUGGCGAAGGCGGCUUACUGGGCACUAACUGACGCUGAGGCUCGAAAGCAUGGGUAGCAAACAGGAUUAAUACCC
Molecule: ribosomal RNA, 415 nt
Filed under: uncultured bacterium
Lineage: Bacteria
Description: bacterial SSU rRNA
Rfam family: Bacterial small subunit ribosomal RNA
Source: RNAcentral